AUUUGAUUGUAUAUGCUUGAGGGGGGGUGCAAGGACUGUAUGGAUGCUCCACAGGUUUGAAGAAUGGUUCAACCUGGGAUUUGAGCAUCAUUUUAGGAGGACAGAAAGAUGACAUGUAUUUAGUAGUAACUAACCCUCACAGUUUGAAUUUUGAUCCUUCCCCACACAGACAUAGGCAUACGGAUACUUUGUCUCCCACAGCUGUGAGCCACAGCUGUGAGUCACAGCUGUCCUAGGGAGCCCCAAGUCACUGACUGCAUGUGCUGCUGCUGUGGACGGUUAUGCCGAGGGGAAAAAAAGUGUGAGAGCAGCUUCUGUGUUAAGGCAGCUCCUUCCUGUGUGGCCGGCCAUCUCACCGAGAACGCAGCUGACACUAUUCAGACUCGAGUAUGCAGUAGACAUUUUCUUUAGAGACAAUAAAGGGAGUAUGUCUCCUCCAGAGGAAAAGGACAGCAUUGGUGGCCAGUGCUUAAAACAUUUGCUCUCUCAGGUGAACAUUAGAAUUUUGGAGAAUCUGUAUCCACCAACCAUGAAUAUGAUGGUUUCCCAAGAACUGAGUGUUCAUCACAGACGAUGCAUGCAGGGGUAAUGGAUGGGAACUGUAGCCCUCAGAGAAUGAAAUUCGCCCACAGUUUGAAGCUCUGCAGGACUCUGAAGCAAUGUUUUGAAGUGACCAGUGGAUGACCUUACAGAGUUAUGCACCGGGAGAAAAGAAAAGUCCAUGAAAGAAAGGUUGAUGGGUUUUACGUAACAGCAAUGGGAACAAUUCAAGCAUGAGAUUAUAACCUAGAAUAUGAAACUAUUAGUUUCAAUUUUAUGCUGUGAAACAAAGAAUAUACAAAAACUAUCUGGAACAGGCUGUUAAAAUAUUCUUUCUCCAUCCCAACCCUCGAGGCAAAUGCCGUAGGGGGAUUGGGAGUUCAAGAUCUUUACUGGCUACAGAGUACAUGAGACACUGUCUCAAAGAAGUAUGGAUCCUUCCCUUCCUAUCACUUCUGGUUCACUCUCUCUGAUUCAUGUUUAAAGGUGUGUCCUCUCAGUUUCCAGUCCCCACCACCGGCCACCAUGCCAGCGGCUUGCUUUCCAGUCACAAUGGACUCUUAUUCCUCUGGAACCGUAAGCCCAAAUAAACUCUUGCCUCAAG
This 1144-nucleotide long non-coding RNA is filed under the name Rattus norvegicus (Norway rat). RNAcentral describes it as "long non-coding RNA NONRATT032332". The record is from RNAcentral. Lineage: Eukaryota; Metazoa; Chordata; Mammalia; Rodentia; Muridae.